RNAcentral lists this ribosomal RNA (251 nucleotides) under uncultured prokaryote. RNAcentral's name for it is "partial 16S rRNA". It matches the Rfam family "Bacterial small subunit ribosomal RNA", at positions 525 to 775 of the family's 1533-position model. The record is from RNAcentral.
ACAGAGGUCCCAAGCGUUGUUCGGAUUCACUGGGCGUAAGGGGUCGUUGGUUGCCGUGCCAAUUUGGAGUGAAAACCUCGGGCCUUAACCCGAAAAGGGCAUUGAAUACUGCACUGCUAGAGGGUCGGAGGGGAGACUGGAAUUCUCGGUGUAGCAGUGAAAUGCGUAGAUAUCGAGAGGAACACCAGUGGCGAAAGCGAGUCUCUGGACGACUCCUGACACUGAGGCACGAAAGCUAGGGGAUCAAACAG